GAUGAACGCUGGCGGCGUGCCUAAUACAUGCAAGUCGAGCGAACGGACGAGAAGCUUGCUUCUCUGAUGUUAGCGGCGGACGGGUGAGUAACACGUGGAUAACCUACCUAUAAGACUGGGAUAACUUCGGGAAACCGGAGCUAAUACCGGAUAAUAUUUUGAACCGCAUGGUUCAAAAGUGAAAGACGGUCUUGCUGUCACUUAUAGAUGGAUCCGCGCUGCAUUAGCUAGUUGGUAAGGUAACGGCUUACCAAGGCAACGAUGCAUAGCCGACCUGAGAGGGUGAUCGGCCACACUGGAACUGAGACACGGUCCAGACUCCUACGGGAGGCAGCAGUAGGGAAUCUUCCGCAAUGGGCGAAAGCCUGACGGAGCAACGCCGCGUGAGUGAUGAAGGUCUUCGGAGCGUAAAACUCUGUUAUGAGGGAAGAACAUAUGUGUAAGUAACUGUGCACAUCUUGACGGUACCUAAUCAGAAAGCCACGGCUAACUACGUG
Molecule: ribosomal RNA, 497 nt
Filed under: uncultured bacterium
Lineage: Bacteria
Description: partial 16S ribosomal RNA
Rfam family: Bacterial small subunit ribosomal RNA
Source: RNAcentral